GUUAUCUUCUAGAUUAUUUCGUGCCGAAUUUUAAUACCGCGUUUUGACUUCGCGAUAAUUGAGGCGAUAAUUAAAACAAAUUAAGAAGCGUACUCCUCACGCGAGCAGGUGUUGCGGGUUUUACCGCGAUUGAAAUCUAAUAGAGAAAACGCAGUCACGCGGCUCUAGGGGAUGCGAUGCUUGAGGGAUGCCGCGCCGGAGGAUUCGGCUCGGGCCUAUCUGAGUCAGCUCGAAGAGACGAAGCAGACGACCAGCCAACUCUUAGGGGCUGCUGCGCCGGAGGAUCCGGCUCGGGUCAAGCGGGGAUAGCUCGAAGAAACGAAAGCAGAACGUGGC
This is a long non-coding RNA of Odontomachus brunneus, 336 nucleotides long. RefSeq lists it as uncharacterized. Lineage: Eukaryota; Metazoa; Arthropoda; Insecta; Hymenoptera; Formicidae. The record is from RefSeq and is a predicted model, not a curated record. The transcript has 4 exons.